GCCUUAGUACGGCGAGUGAGCGGCAAAAGCUCAAAUUUGAAAUCUGGUACCUCUUCGGUGCCCGAGUUGUAAUUUGGAGAGUACCACUUUGGGACUGUACUUUGCCUAUGUUCCUUGGAACAGGACGUCAUGGAGGGUGAGAAUCCCGUGUGGCGAGGGUGUCAGUUCUUUGUAAAGGGUGCUCGAAGAGUCGAGUUGUUUGGGAAUGCAGCUCUAAGUGGGUGGUAAAUUCCAUCUAAAGCUAAAUACAGGCGAGAGACCGAUAGCGAACAAGUACAGUGAUGGAAAGAUGAAAAGAACUUUGAAAAGAGAGUGAAAAAGUACGUGAAAUUGUUGAAAGGGAAGGGCAUUUGAUCAGACAUGGUGUUUUGCGCCCCUUGCCUCUCGUGGGCUUGGGACUCUCGCAGCUCACUGGGCCAGCAUCGGUUUUGGCGGCCGGAAAAAACCUAGGGAAUGUGGCUCUGCGCCUCGGUGUAGAGUGUUAUAGCCCUGGGGAA
RNAcentral lists this ribosomal RNA (497 nucleotides) under Nakaseomyces glabratus. RNAcentral describes it as "eukaryotic LSU rRNA". It matches the Rfam family "Eukaryotic large subunit ribosomal RNA", at positions 77 to 571 of the family's 3401-position model. The record is from RNAcentral. Lineage: Eukaryota; Fungi; Ascomycota; Saccharomycetes; Saccharomycetales; Saccharomycetaceae.